Molecule: ribosomal RNA, 497 nt
Filed under: uncultured bacterium
Lineage: Bacteria
Description: partial 16S ribosomal RNA
Rfam family: Bacterial small subunit ribosomal RNA
Source: RNAcentral
GAUGAACGCUGGCGGCGUGCCUAAUACAUGCAAGUCGAGCGAACAGAUGCGGAGCUUGCUCCUCUGACGUUAGCGGCGGACGGGUGAGUAACACGUGGAUCACCUACCUAUAAGACUGGGAUAACUUCGUGAAACCGGUGCUAAUACCGGUUACUCUAUUGAACCGCAUGGUUCAAUAGUGAAAGACGGUUUUGCUGUCACUUAUAGAUGGAUCCGCGCCGCACUAGCUAGUUGGUAAGGUAACGGCUUACCAAGGCAACGAUGCGUAGCCGACCUGAGAGGGUGAUCGGCCACACUGGAACGGAGACACGGUCCAGACUCCUACGGGAGGCAUCAGUAGGCAAUCUUGCGCAAUGGGCGAAAGCCUGACGGAGCAACGCCGCGUGAGUGAUGAAGGUCUUCGGAUCGUAAAACUCUGUUAUUAGGGAAGAACAAAUGGGUAAGUAACUAUGCACGUCGUGACGGUACCUAAUCAGAAAGCCACGGCUAACUACGUG